This 1054-nucleotide long non-coding RNA is filed under the name Heterocephalus glaber (naked mole-rat). Its description in RNAcentral is "lncRNA (ENSHGLG00100043658.1)". The record is from RNAcentral. Lineage: Eukaryota; Metazoa; Chordata; Mammalia; Rodentia; Bathyergidae.
CACAGCCUCUGCCCAGCCUGGUAGGCCUGGGGAUUCCUGUGCACACUCACUGAAGUCUAUCAGGCCCACUGCCCUGUCCUGUAGGCAUCCAACGGGGGUCAUCAGGGCAGCUGGGCCUCACCUCGCUGUUGAUGUGAUCCAGGCUGGACUCAUGCAGGACAGACAGCCUGGGGCAUAAGAAGGGGGUCCCCAGCAGCCAUGUCACCUCAGGGACACUGGGUGUGGCAGGGCCAGCUAUGUGCUGGGGGAUAGUUGCUCCCCAUGGAGGCUCACGCAUCUGGGACACUUUAGGGCCUUUUGUCCAUGAUGCCAGGAAAAGGCAGCUGGGCAGACGAUGUUUAAAGCCACCUUAGGAUGGAAGCUUCCAGCCACCUGGGUCAUGAUUUAUUCUAACACUGCUUGGUGCCUGCUCAGAGCCACACCAAAAGCCAGGAUGGAGGGCAGAUGAGACAGCAAGAAGGAAGCAGCCCGGGAGGAGCCCUGGGUCCUUGGUACUGGUCUUACGCACCUGGCCACGUGACUACUUUGCCAGCUGACGCCACAGACAAAGCAGGGCAACACACAAGUGAGCAACAGUGGCUUCUUGUCCUUUCCUUCCCAAACACCGCCCCUCACUGAGGACACAAGAGGCUCUGCCGGACAGAAGGACACAUCUGCCUGGCUGGAGCCCAUCUGAGUGGGCAAAGACCUUCGAACCCCUCUCUGCUGCCUCCUAGUAUGACCUCAUCCAUGCUGGGCUGGGACAGGCUCCAGGGCCCCGUGGGGGACGGAGCGAGGGAGUUUUACAGAGAGGCUGCCGGGCAGCUGCAAACCACGGGGAUGGAAAGCAACGCCUCUUUAGAGCCCCAUGCCGGCCCUGCUGGGCAAAGCCAACGGCUGGCUGCACCUGCUUGGGUAGUGGGCACAAGACCCAGCCAUGGUGGAGCUGCUGGUGGGCCUCAUGGAUGAGCCUGGCUGGGGCCUUUGCCAGUGGCCUGGAGACCCCUCAUCCAAGCAGGUCUUCGGCAUGGCAAGGGCCUGGCAUAAGCAAGAGGCCACCCUGGGCUUGGCCCUU